RNAcentral lists this ribosomal RNA (460 nucleotides) under uncultured bacterium. Its description in RNAcentral is "partial 16S ribosomal RNA". It matches the Rfam family "Bacterial small subunit ribosomal RNA", at positions 338 to 795 of the family's 1533-position model. The record is from RNAcentral.
CCUACGGGUGGCAGCAGUGAGGAAUAUUGGUCAAUGGACGAGAGUCUGAACCAGCCAAGUAGCGUGAAGGAUGACUGCCCUAUGGGUUGUAAACUUCUUUUAUAUGGGAAUAAAACGUUCCACGUGUGGGAUUUUGUAUGUACCAUAUGAAUAAGGAUCGGCUAACUCCGUGCCAGCAGCCGCGGUAAUACGGAGGAUCCGAGCGUUAUCCGGAUUUAUUGGGUUUAAAGGGAGCGUAGGUGGAUUGUUAAGUCAGUUGUGAAAGUUUGCGGCUCAACCGUAAAAUUGCAGUUGAAACUGGCAGUCUUGAGUACAGUAGAGGUGGGCGGAAUUCGGGGUGUAGCGGUGAAAUGCUUAGAUAUCACGAAGAACUCCGAUUGCGAAGGCAGUUCACUGGACUGCAACUGACACUGAGGCUCGAAAGUGUGGGUAUCAAACAGGAUUAGAUACCCCAGUAGUC